GGUACCAUAGAGCAGCUGUUGAGAUAAAGAGGCCUCUCAAGUUGCCCCUGACAGAUGGCAUUCAACGUGUGUUUUGGCAUGUAAUACAGGGCUGUAAAAGUUCUUGAUGUUCUGGCUCCUAUUGGGCUGCAGGUAUAUUUUAGGAAUACUAAGAUCUUUUUUUUUCUUUUUUCUUUUUUUUAACUUAUAAUAAAUCUACCCUAGAAGAUGAUAGAUGUUUUUAGAUUCUCAUAUGGAUGGAUGCUGUCCUUUGCAGGUUGCUCUCAUCAAUGUCAAUCUGAAGCAUGGGCUUUUGAUGCUGGGGUCCCUGAAGUAAUCGAAGUCUUGGGUACGAUGGUGGUCGAUUUAUAAGGAGUGCGGAGAGUCUAGUCGAUGAUAAGUAAAUAAGGCACCGCAUGCGGAAAGGUAUAUAGAGGGACUAGGAAAAGUUUACCUUGUCUGGAAUCUC
RNAcentral lists this long non-coding RNA (448 nucleotides) under Nicotiana tabacum (common tobacco). RNAcentral's name for it is "long non-coding RNA (NTAB_LNC014861)". Lineage: Eukaryota; Viridiplantae; Streptophyta; Magnoliopsida; Solanales; Solanaceae. The record is from RNAcentral.